AGCAGCAUUGAGGUGAAAUCUUCAGGGAAGUGUUUCCUCAGGGUCAGCACACAGAAUCUGUGUUCCAGAGGCAACCAAGGUUCUACCUUCUAUUGGCGGCAGAACUUGAUGGUCUGAGAGUCUCCCAGGUGGUAUGGGCAUGAAGGGGUCAUAGAGAGCAGCUGAGGCUUGGCACUGUUAGGACUGUUAGGCUAGGCUGGAGUCCCUGAAGAGAGCUCAGGAGAGGCUACUGAUGAAAGUGUAGCCCAGCUUCGGCAGGGUAUUCCGGAACUUUGGAGAUGCCACACAAUGGGAUGACCCUCAAGAACAGCAGUAGCUAUGGAAUGGAUUCCCCCCCAGAGCUUAGUAGAUGAGCUGUGUGUGCUGCAGACGGUGGAGCUGUAGAAGUGUCCCAAAGCCCUUUGGAGGAGCCCAGAAGAUGGUUCCCUUCUCAUCACCUCUUAAGAGACCAGCCUGGAGAACUCAAUAGGGUCUAUCCGUGGAGCAGAAAUUUAGAGCAAAUCUUGGCGACAAGGUUCUGAACUGGAUUAAGUGCCAAGUGUGACCUCGUUUACAGCAACUUGGGAGGCCCCUGAUAAGUCCAAGCCUCUCCCCUUAACUGACCUGGCUGGAACUUUUGACACACGGAUGACAAAAUGGGUGCAAUUAGUUGGAGAUAUUAAUGGGUUCUGUCACGUAAAGUAUUUGUAACAAAGCUUUUCCUUGAAUUCCAAGCUGAGAGUUUUGACUCCUGGAGCCAAAGAAUCCUUUGUUCUGGGGAUUACAUCAUGGAACUAUUUUUAGAGGCCAAGUCUGCUCCAGGGGACUGGGGUUACGGCUGCCUUUGCCUUUCUGCCUCCUAACUCCCGAUCCUGUGUGCUGCUCGUCCACCCCUCUUCUUCCCAGAGCUGAGUGCAUGGCUGGCAUGACCAGAGAGAAGUGAAGACCUCAUGAGGGCCACCUGGGGUGUAGAUGGCACCUCUGGGUGGCUCCAGAGGGGUGAGGACAGGGACUAUCUAUCACAAGACCAUAACCCAUGCAGAAAAUGUUUUACAGUAUCUGAAACCCACAGCCAGGAGUUUGGAGAGAUGGGGGAGACUUCGCCCUCUCCUGUCCAGCUGAAACAGGUUGUAUCCAGUUCAACUUUAAGGGAGCACAAAAGCCAAUUACGUGGACUUUUCCUUGCACCCUCAUGGACACCUUCAGUCUCUAUUUGCAAGAUGGCUUCUUACGGAGGCAAGACCUGACUGGAAAGGACAGGCCUACAAACAGAAGAUCACCUCCUCUCCUCAGCCACAGGUGAACAGGUCUAACUUCGUCUGCCCACUUUGCCUCCCUCAAAGUGAUCCUCUAUCCACAGAAGCAGGCCCGAAUACUGUGCUGCUGAAGAAACCAAGGACCAGACAGCUACGUCACUUCCCCAAGUUGUUGGAAGAGCAAGCAGACUAUUCCCAGCUUUGACUGCAGUGUUCUUUCCAGUAAGUGCAGCAGGCUGCCCCAGCUGGAAGGGAGGAGUUCUAGGAAAAGGCUGCUUUAGAGGGAGAAGAUUCCAGCUUUGGCCUAGCUUGACCUACCUUAGGGACCGGCGCAGUUGGGUCACACCUUUCAGCAGUCUGGGAUAUCUUCCCCCUUGCUGGACAAUGGUUACCAUUCCCAUGUUCUCACUUAUGUCUUGGGGGAUAGACAUGAAACCCCAGGAGCAUACAGAUUUCUGGUACAGGACUGCCCAUGCGCAUACUGCACCUUUGUGUGAAUUAGCCGACGGCACCUCCUUCAGGCAAACAGUGCCAGAGCACAUUGUACAACCAGAGGGAGGCACCCUGGGCACAUUCUACAUGCUAAGGUGCCCCAGUGUAAGACCAUCAGAGAACGUAACAUGGACCCCAUCAUUUUGUAGAGAGUCAGAGGAAGCACCCAUGGGAAGGAGGAAGGGGCUCUUCCACAUAACCAGCUGGGAUGAGGAAUUCACUCUCUCUGUUCUCUCAGAGUUCUCAGAGAACGAACGGGAUCUACCACCUCCUUCCCUACACAGGAAAUCUCUGCUUCCCCUACCCUAGGAAGAAACAAGAAUAGGGUCAUCAGGAGAGGAACUCUGUGUCCCAAAGCAAAGUGCUUUUAUUGCUGCAAAUGAAUGUCUUAAAAAAAAGGGGGGGGGGAUGGGUGGAUGGGGCCUGGGCUCCUUGGGAGUUGGGUCUGUCUGUCAGUCUCUAUGCAUUGAGAUAGCAGUAGGACUAUGGAUGAAGUGUGGACAGGCCUGUGGGGUACAUAGAAACACCUCCCUCUUUGGUUUAGAGAGGGGGGUACCUGGGUCAGCAGAGCCCCUUCAUUGGCCAUCCAAGUGCUGAACACAAGAGGUGAUGAAGACAGGAGGCUGUUCCCCUAAUUUUCUUAUUGUGUAAAUUCCUGAUUUUUUUUAAACUGUCUCCAAAGAACAUAAACUGAUGUAGGGGCUGAGCCAAGCUUAAGUUCGUUGGAAAAAUAAAGAAAUUUUUGGAUUUUUGUGCCAAA
Mesocricetus auratus (golden hamster) is the source of this 2487-nucleotide long non-coding RNA. RefSeq lists it as uncharacterized. The record is from RefSeq and is a predicted model, not a curated record. The transcript has 2 exons. NCBI's taxonomy places the organism in Eukaryota, Metazoa, Chordata, Mammalia, Rodentia, Cricetidae.